AACGAACGCUGGCGGCAUGCCUAACACAUGCAAGUCGAACGAGACCUCCGGGUCUUGUGGCGCACGGGUGCGUAACGCGUGGGAACCUGCCCUUAGGUUCGGAAUAACUCUCCGACAGGGGUGCCAAUACCGGACAAGGGCUUCUGACCAAAGAUUUAUUGCCUUUGGAUGGACCCUCGUUGGAUUAGCUGUUUGGUAGGGUAAUAGCCUACCAAGGGGCCCAUUGGUAGCUGGUCUCAGAGGAUGAUUAGCGACGCUGCGACUGGGACGCGGCCCAGACUCCUACGGGAUGGGGCAGUGCGGAAUGGUGCACCGUGGGCGAAAGCCUGAACGAGUACUGACGCGUAAGUGAUGUAGGUCUUGGGGUUGUAAAGCGCUUUUAACCGGGAUGAUAAUGACAGUACCGGAAGAAUAAGCCCCGGCUAACUCCGUG
RNAcentral lists this ribosomal RNA (433 nucleotides) under uncultured bacterium. RNAcentral describes it as "partial 16S ribosomal RNA". It matches the Rfam family "Bacterial small subunit ribosomal RNA", at positions 29 to 507 of the family's 1533-position model. The record is from RNAcentral.